RNAcentral lists this ribosomal RNA (751 nucleotides) under uncultured bacterium. RNAcentral describes it as "bacterial SSU rRNA". It matches the Rfam family "Bacterial small subunit ribosomal RNA", at positions 571 to 1334 of the family's 1533-position model. The record is from RNAcentral.
GUAGGCGGCUUUUUAAGUCGGGUGCGAAAUCUUGCGGCUCAACCGUAUAGACUGUGCUCGAAACUAUAAAGCUAGAGGUAGGUAGAGGCAAGUGGAAUUUCUGGUGUAGGAGUGACAUCCGUAGAUAUCAGAAGGAACACCAAUGGCGAAGGCAGCUUGCUGGGCCUUACCUGACGCUCAGAGACGAAAGCGUGGGGAGCGAACGGGAUUAGAUACCCCGGUAGUCCACGCCGUAAACGAUGAUAACUAGUAGUAUGAAGAUUCGACCCUUUGUGCUACGAAGCUAACGCGAUAAGUUAUCCGCCUGGGGAGUACGAGCGCAAGCUUAAAACUCAAAGGAAUUGACGGGGACCCGCACAAGCAGAGGAGGAUGUGGUUUAAUUCGAAGCUAAGCGAAGAACCUUACCGAGGCUUGACAUCUCUGGAAUUUUGGCGAAAGCCGAAAGUGCCUUCGGGAACCAGAUGACAGAUGCUGCAUGGCCGUCGUCAGCUCGUGUCGUGAGAUGUUGGGUUAAGUCCCGCAACGAGCGCAACCCUCGUCGUCAGUUGUAUUUUCUGGCGAGACCGCCCGGGCCAACCGGGAGGAAGGUGGGGAUGACGUCUGGUCAGCAUGGCUCUUACGCCUCGGGCUACACACGUCCUACAAUGGACACUACAACGCGCUGCCAAACCGUAAGGUGGAGCAAAUCGCAUCAAAAGUGGUCUCAGUUCGGAUUGAGGGCUGAAACUCGCCCUCAUGAAGCUGGAUUUG